This 508-nucleotide ribosomal RNA is filed under the name Medorippe lanata. RNAcentral describes it as "partial 16S ribosomal RNA". It matches the Rfam family "Archaeal large subunit ribosomal RNA", at positions 1921 to 2666 of the family's 2987-position model. Lineage: Eukaryota; Metazoa; Arthropoda; Malacostraca; Decapoda; Dorippidae. The record is from RNAcentral.
GUCUAUAAGAAGAUGUAUAUAGUCUGUCCUGCCCACUGAAAAUUAAAUGGCUGCGGUAUUUUGACCGUACAAAGGUAGCAUAGUAAUUAGAUUUUUAAAUGAAAUCUGGAAUGAACGGAUUGACAAAAAGAAGACUGUCUCAAUAAUAAAAAUAUAAUUUAACUUUAAGAGUGAAAAGGCCUUAAUAAAUCAAGGGGACGAUAAGACCCUAUAAAACUUUAUAAAUAAAGUUAAAAUAUAGAAAUUGUAAAUAAUUUUUUUUAACUAAAUUUUAUUUUACUGGGGCGGUAUAUUAUAAGUACUAAUAACUAAUAAAAAUAUUAUCAUUGAUAGAUGAAAAUAAAUGAUCCUUUAAAAAGAUUAAAAGAUUAAGUUACUUUAGGGAUAACAGCGUUAUUUUUUUAGAGAGUUCUUAUCAAAAAAAAAGAUUGCGACCUCGAUGUUGAAUUAAAUAGUUCUUUAUAAUGCAGAAGUUAUAAAAGAAGGUCUGUUCGACCUUUAAAUAUUU